This 438-nucleotide ribosomal RNA is filed under the name uncultured bacterium. RNAcentral's name for it is "partial 16S ribosomal RNA". It matches the Rfam family "Bacterial small subunit ribosomal RNA", at positions 339 to 795 of the family's 1533-position model. The record is from RNAcentral.
CUACGGGAGGCACCAGUGAGGAAUAUUGCACAAUGGGGGGAACCCUGAUGCAGCAACGCCGCGUGGAGGAUGACGCAUUUCGGUGUGUAAACUCCUUUUAUAUGUCAAGAAAAUGACGGUAGCAUAUGAAUAAGCACCGGCGAACUCCGUGCCAGCGCCGCGGUAAUACGGAGGGUGCAAGCGUUACUCGGAAUCACUGGGCGUAAAGGACGCGUAGGCGGGUUGGAAAGUCAGGUGUGAAAUCCUACAGCUUAACUGUAGAACUGCACUUGAAACUUCUAAUCUAGAGUAUGGGAGAGGGAGAUGGAAUUAGUGGUGUAGGGGUAAAAUCCGUAGAUAUCACUAGGAAUACCUAAAGCGAAGGCGAUCUCCUGGAACAUUACUGACGCUAAGGCGUGAAAGCGUGGGGAGCAAACAGGAUUAGAUACCCCCGUAGUC